UACGUAGGGUGCGAGCGUUGUCCGGAAUUAUUGGGCGUAAAGGGCUCGUAGGCGGUUUGUCGCGUCGGGAGUGAAAACACCGGGCUUAACUCGGUGCUUGCUUUCGAUACGGGCAGACUAGAGGUAUGCAGGGGAGAACGGAAUUCCUGGUGUAGCGGUGAAAUGCGCAGAUAUCAGGAGGAACACCGGUGGCGAAGGCGGUUCUCUGGGCCUACCUGACGCUGAGGAGCGAAAGCGGUGGGGAGCAAACAGG
Molecule: ribosomal RNA, 253 nt
Filed under: uncultured bacterium
Lineage: Bacteria
Description: partial 16S ribosomal RNA
Rfam family: Bacterial small subunit ribosomal RNA
Source: RNAcentral